CACCGCCCGAAUACAGCCACCAUCCUUUUCUCUUUUCCUUUUUUUUUUCUCUUUCUUUAAAUGCAUCUUCUCUCUCUCAUAGUAUGAAUCCUUUCCUUACAAGUAUAGAGAAGACCAAUACCUAUAUCUUCAUCGUACCUUUUUCACAUUAAUUCUUUCCCCCAUUCAUUACAUUCAAUUUACCAAUUCUUUUAUAUAUAUACAGCUUCCUCUUGUCUCGACCCCCCUGUCAAAUUCCUCCAUUGUUUUCUCUGAAUUCAACACUAUGAUUGGACCCAGCAAUUUGAGAUGGGUCAUCUUCUUAGCGUUAGCUCUUAUCGGAUCCUACCCGUUAAGGGUAAUCCACUCACUUGGUGAUGGGAGAAAUCACGGGCAGAAACAAAAGCAGCAACAGAGGUUAUUGGUUCCAAUGACUCUUGUUCGUAAUGCUUCUUCUCUGGGAGCAGUUUGUUUAGAUGGGAGCCCACCAGCUUACCACAUUCAUAGAGGAUUUGGCUCUGGCCUACACAACUGGCUCUUACAGUUUGAGGGAGGAGGGUGGUGCAACGAUGUGGCUUCGUGUCUGGAGAGAUCGAGAUCGAGGCGAGGAUCGACGAGAUUGAUGAACAAGCUUGAAGUUUUCUCCGGAAUUCUCAGCGAUGAUCCUACCAUGAAUCCAGAUUUCUAUAAUUGGAACAGGGUAAAACUUCGGUAUUGUGAUGGUGCUUCAUUUGGUGGUGAUUCAGAAUAUAAAAAUGGUUCAACAGUUCUCUUCUUCAGAGGCCAAAGAAUAUGGGAUGCUAUAAUGGUUGAUCUGUUCUCAGAAGGAUUUCUGCUGGCCCAAAAGGUAUUUCUUUCAGGAUGUUCUGCCGGUGGCCUUGCUACAUUUCUUCACUGUGAUGAUCUUGCUCAACUUAUCCCACCAAAUGCCAGUAUCAAGUGCAUGAGUGAUGCAGGAUUUUUCUUAGACGUUGGAGACAUAACUGGGAACAACACUAUAAGUCUCUUCUUCCGUGGUGUAGUCAACUUGCAGGAUAUCUUGCAGGGCGUACAAAAGAAUCUACAAGCAAUCUGUAGAUCUUUUCAGGACUACCUGUAUCAGUGUUUCUUUCCGCAAUAUUCAUUGCCAUACAUCAGAACACCUUAUUUUAUAUUGAAUUCAGCCUACGAUGUAUACCAGUUCCAUCAUAUAUUUGUGCCACCUUCCGCUGAUCCUCGUGGGCAUUGGAACCAUUGCAAGUUAAACCCAGCAGAAUGUACAGGAGAUCAGAUCAAUAUCCUCCAAGGAUUCAGAUACAAAAUGUUGGCGGCAUUGAGACGAUUUGAGAACUCUAUGAAUGGUGGCAUGUUCAUAAAUUCCUGCUUCGCUCAUUGCCAAAGUGAGCUUCAAGAGACAUGGUUUGCACCUGAUUCUCCAAGAGUGCACAAUAAGACUAUCGCAGAGGUGGUUGGUGAUUGGUACUUUGAGAGAAACGUCACUAAGGAAGUGGACUGCCCGUAUCCUUGUGAUUUGACUUGCCACAACCUUAUACCAGCAGCUCAGGUAUACAAAUGAUUCAUUAUCAUGGUCAAGAUGUGCUUCCAUUUUAAGAAUAAUGAAGAAUCUUCAUGAAAGAACUGAUAUUCUUCUAAUAACCAUCAUAGUUUAUCUUAGGUUUUGGAGCUAUAAGAUUCUUUGGAGAAGACAAAGUAACAUCUUGGAAACUUUACCUGUUGAAAGAUUUGUUAUUUUUGCUGCCAUCGGAGAGUUACCUGAUGACAACAAGCAUGGGGUUUAGCUACAUUAAUAUCAAAUAGUUGAUUCUUUAUACUCAUUAGCAUUGGGCAUGUCUCAAUGCUUGUUUCAGAUGUUUUACCCCCUUUUGGUAGAUGUUCAGAGCUACUAGAUACAAUACAAAAAUCUGAAAAAAAUUUACUGAAUUCUAUCAAAUUCCCAUUUUGGAUUCCAGUGUAAACGAGAGUUUUUUUACCUCUCUUUUCUUGUAUGAGCAAUGGAAAAUGCUCUUUGUUGAGCCGCCUUA
RNA transcript from Asparagus officinalis (garden asparagus), 2000 nucleotides. It is a transcript of the gene named pectin acetylesterase 9, with no coding region annotated. The transcript has 14 exons. NCBI's taxonomy places the organism in Eukaryota, Viridiplantae, Streptophyta, Magnoliopsida, Asparagales, Asparagaceae. The record is from RefSeq and is a predicted model, not a curated record.